AACGAACGCUGGCGGCAUGCCUAACACAUGCAAGUCGAACGAGACCAUCGGGUCUAGUGGCGCACGGGUGCGUAACGCGUGGGAACCUGCACUUAGGUUCGGAAUAACUCCCCGAAAGGGGUGCUAAUACCGGAUAAUGUAUUCGGACAAAAGAUUUAUCGACGUUGGAUGGGCCCGCGUUGGAUUAGCUAGUUGGUAGGGUAAAAGCCUAUCACGGCGACGAUCCAUAGCUGGUCUGAGAGGAUGAUCAGCCACACUGGGACUGAGACACGGCCCAGACUCCUACGGGAGGCAGCAGUGGGGAAUAUUGGACAAUGGGCGAAAGCCUGAUCCAGCAAUGCCGCGUGAGUGAUGAAGGCCUUAGGGUUGUAAAGCUCUUUUACCCGGGAUGAUAAUGACAGUACCGGGAGAAUAAGCACCGGCUAACUCCGUG
RNAcentral lists this ribosomal RNA (433 nucleotides) under uncultured bacterium. RNAcentral's name for it is "partial 16S ribosomal RNA". It matches the Rfam family "Bacterial small subunit ribosomal RNA", at positions 29 to 507 of the family's 1533-position model. The record is from RNAcentral.